Molecule: long non-coding RNA, 258 nt
Filed under: Pavo cristatus (Indian peafowl)
Lineage: Eukaryota; Metazoa; Chordata; Aves; Galliformes; Phasianidae
Description: lncRNA (ENSPSTG00000009811.1)
Source: RNAcentral
GUGAGAAGUAAGGCUGCAGAGGGCCCAUGGGAAGGAGCAGAGGUUACCGCAGGAAGCCUUGAUAGGUGGAUCAUUUCCCUGACUGCUGGUGGCAAAGCAUCUCUACAAGUACACAGGGCUCAAUAAAUCUCACCUCUCAAGGCAAAGAUAUUCACAGACGACUAUUUAACUGGGGGUUGACUUGUCAAAUUCAUCCACUGACGCUUAGCAGGAGCUGCCCAGCCAUUGACAAGGAUUCCUCCUUGCCUCCUCUCCUGG